GGGCGAGCGGGAGGCGGCGGUGGCUCCUGUCGACCUCUGGCAAGACUGACCGCAGGGAGGCCGAAAAGCGGGCACGCGCGGCGGAGAGGCGGGCGGAAGGCCGGAGCUUAUUUAAUGAAAAGUGCCAUAGACUGAAAAACCAAACAUGAGGGUAGCAGGUGCUGCAAAGUUGGUGGUAGCUGUGGCAGUAUUUUUACUGACAUUCUAUGUUAUUUCUCAAGUAUUUGAAAUAAAAAUGGAUGCAAGUUUAGGAAAUCUAUUUGGUAAGUUUUAUUUCUUUUUCCCUUUCUUAAAUUUUAUUUGUGAUGAGAUUGUCUUUAAAUUUUUACCAGUUAUCAACAUUGAGUUACUCUGCUGUUUAGGCUGUCUAGAAAAGAAAAUGAAAUUAUAUUGGUAAGUGUGAUUCAUUGGAAUAUUCUAAAAUGUACAAUAGAAAAUCUUACAAUUAAUUCAAUAUAAAGCACGAAUCUUCUAUUCAACAUUUUGAAUAUAUUUAAUGGAGCCUAUUUUAUGCAUGCCUACGGACAUUAUUCAUGGCAUUCUAAAUGCACAUGCUAGAAGAUAUCACACCCUAUUUGAGUUGGCUGCUUAAAAACUUGGAACCAAAUCUAACCCUCAGUUAGCAAGUGAUUAGGAGUCAUGAUAAUGCAUUUUAAAUACCAGCCAUAGAAAUCCAUCUUGCUUUCCUACCCUUAUUUUCCUUCUGCACCAUUUUUCCUUUUAGCAAUUUAUUUGAUGCUAUGUUGUAAAUGUACCACUACGAGCUGCCUUAAUUCAGUUUUAAACAAAAUCUUUAAGUUGAUAAAAUAAGUUAACAUUUGAAGUGUUUGAAUAAGCUUUGGCUGAGCACUGUUUAAAGUAUUAAAAAAUAACUCAUGAAAGGUCAGGCUCUGAAACCUAGAAACAGUAUUUUGACCUAGUAGGCAGAAAUCAAAUGAAACAACCUUGAGAUCUCUGGAAUAGUUGGUGAGUUUUGCUUUCCGUAAAUUAAUACAAGACCGAAUACAUUCCCUCUCACAUCUAGUUUCAAGACUCCCUUAAACCAGUGUUUCUCAAACUUCGAUGUCAAGGGAAUCUCUAGGGAAUCUUGAUAAAUGCAGAUUCUGAUUCAGUGUCUGGGAUGGGGCCUGAGAGUCUGCAUUUCUAACAAGAUCCCAGGUGAUGCUGAUUUCCCAUCCAUGGACCAUAUACUAGGUAUCAGGCUUUAGACAGUUAUGGCAUGUAGUCCUCAAGUUUCUGUAUAUUUUCAUUUCUGUACAUGUUCAGGUGACUUUUCUUACAAUGACUACUUAAAAGUACUUCCUUGUUUUGCACUGAAUUCUGCCUUUUAUUCUCCCAAGUAAUUUCAAUCCACUGAUCUUGCUUCUACCUGCUGGAGCUCUCUUCCACAUUAAUGAUCUGUUAAAUAGUUAAGUUGUGGUUAUUCUCCUCCAUGCCAUCUUUUUAUAAGUGUUCAUCUUAUCAAGCUAUAAAAUCCUCCCUUUGAACCAUUCUUCCUAAUGCACUGUUUAUUUUCCUCCUGUCAGUUUUCGGCACCCAUCUUAAAAUGAAGUAUCCAGGAUCGGGCGUAGAAUAGUUGUUGCAAAGUGUAGUGAGAAUUGUCUUGACUUCUCCUGGGCUAUGUGCGUCUGUUACUGCAAAGGGCCAGCCUGGGGUCCUUUGAGAGCACAGCUGGUUUCAGUUGAAGGAUGGGGCACAAAAACAUGGAAGGCAUUGAGGACUUGUUCAGUGUUGCUGUGGAAACAGUGUGCUGUAGCUAAUUCUUCUAAGUAAGGUUGAUGGUAAGGGAGACAACUGUGGGGAUGGUAGCUUGAGGCAGAAGUAAGUUGAACAUUUUUUUCUUUUUUGAAGUAAUAGAGAGGUUUUCACUUCUCUAUAGGCCGCGGGCAAAGAGUCAGUGAAUUACAAAUCAAUGGGAAGAGAUUAAACAGAGAGAAAAGGAUGAUCCUGGAGAGAAGGGGG
This is a long non-coding RNA of Delphinapterus leucas (beluga whale), 1962 nucleotides long. NCBI's taxonomy places the organism in Eukaryota, Metazoa, Chordata, Mammalia, Artiodactyla, Monodontidae. The record is from Ensembl.